AUGUCAUCGUAUGACUCAUGCCUCGUCCACAUCUCUUCAAACCUGAAACAGCGCACAACAUUUGGCUUAUUUGCAAAAUUCUCUCGGACACGAAUGGCCAGUGCCAUAUGGUCGGAUUCUUCCGUCAAUAUGUGCUCCACUGCUGUUCCAGAAUAUAAUUGCAUGAACUCGCUAGUGCAAGUAGCUCUAUCCAAUGGUACUUGUAUAUUAUCAGGAGGGUCACGCUUAUUAUCCCUGUAUACCCAAUGUCCGCCAGUGCGCACAUGUCCAGGCACUCACGAAAUUGCUCCAUCUGGCUAA
Molecule: ribosomal RNA, 300 nt
Filed under: Triticum aestivum (bread wheat)
Lineage: Eukaryota; Viridiplantae; Streptophyta; Magnoliopsida; Poales; Poaceae
Description: partial small subunit ribosomal RNA
Source: RNAcentral